RNAcentral lists this ribosomal RNA (1429 nucleotides) under uncultured organism. RNAcentral describes it as "16S ribosomal RNA". It matches the Rfam family "Bacterial small subunit ribosomal RNA". The record is from RNAcentral.
CGGCGUGCUUAACACAUGCAAGUCGAACGGAAAGGCCCUGCUUUUGUGGGGUGCUCGAGUGGCGAACGGGUGAGUAACACGUGAGUAACCUGCCCUUGACUUUGGGAUAACUUCAGGAAACUGGGGCUAAUACCGGAUAGGAGCUCCUGCUGCAUGGUGGGGGUUGGAAAGUUUCGGCGGUUGGGGAUGGACUCGCGGCUUAUCAGCUUGUUGGUGGGGUAGUGGCUUACCAAGGCUUUGACGGGUAGCCGGCCUGAGAGGGUGACCGGCCACAUUGGGACUGAGAUACGGCCCAGACUCCUACGGGAGGCAGCAGUGGGGAAUAUUGCACAAUGGGCGGAAGCCUGAUGCAGCAACGCCGCGUGCGGGAUGACGGCCUUCGGGUUGUAAACCGCUUUCGCCUGUGACGAAGCGUGAGUGACGGUAAUGGGUAAAGAAGCACCGGCUAACUACGUGCCAGCAGCCGCGGUGAUACGUAGGGUGCGAGCGUUGUCCGGAUUUAUUGGGCGUAAAGGGCUCGUAGGUGGUUGAUCGCGUCGGAAGUGUAAUCUUGGGGCUUAACCCUGAGCGUGCUUUCGAUACGGGUUGACUUGAGGAAGGUAGGGGAGAAUGGAAUUCCUGGUGGAGCGGUGGAAUGCGCAGAUAUCAGGAGGAACACCAGUGGCGAAGGCGGUUCUCUGGGCCUUUCCUGACGCUGAGGAGCGAAAGCGUGGGGAGCGAACAGGCUUAGAUACCCUGGUAGUCCACGCUGUAAACGGUGGGUACUAGGUGUGGGGUCCAUUCCACGGGUUCCGUGCCGUAGCUAACGCUUUAAGUACCCCGCCUGGGGAGUACGGCCGCAAGGCUAAAACUCAAAGGAAUUGACGGGGCCCCGCACAAGCGGCGGAGCAUGCGGAUUAAUUCGAUGCAACGCGUAGAACCUUACCUGGGUUUGACAUGGAUCGGGAGUGCUCAGAGAUGGGUGUGCCUCUUUUGGGGUCGGUUCACAGGUGGUGCAUGGCUGUCGUCAGCUCGUGUCGUGAGAUGUUGGGUUAAGUCCCGCAACGAGCGCAACCCUUGUUCACUGUUGCCAGCACGUUAUGGUGGGGACUCAGUGGAGACCGCCGGGGUCAACUCGGAGGAAGGUGGGGAUGACGUCAAGUCAUCAUGCCCCUUAUGUCCAGGGCUUCACGCAUGCUACAAUGGCUGGUACAGAGAGUGGCGAGCCUGUGAGGGUGAGCGAAUCUCGGAAAGCCGGUCUCAGUUCGGAUUGGGGUCUGCAACUCGACCUCAUGAAGUCGGAGUCGCUAGUAAUCGCAGAUCAGCAACGCUGCGGUGAAUACGUUCCCGGGGCUUGUACACACCGCCCGUCAAGUCAUGAAAGUUGGUAACACCCGAAGCCGGUGGCCUAACCGAUGUGGGGGAGCCGUCGAAGGUGGGACUGGUGAUU